This 463-nucleotide ribosomal RNA is filed under the name uncultured bacterium. RNAcentral describes it as "partial 16S ribosomal RNA". It matches the Rfam family "Bacterial small subunit ribosomal RNA", at positions 28 to 506 of the family's 1533-position model. The record is from RNAcentral.
GACGAACGCUGGCGGCGUGCUUAACACAUGCAAGUCGAACGGAAAGGCCCUGCUUGCAGGGUACUCGAGUGGCGAACGGGUGAGUAACACGUGGGUGAUCUGCCCUGCACUUCGGGAUAAGCCUGGGAAACUGGGUCUAAUACCGGAUAGGAGCCAUUUUUAGUGUGAUGGUUGGAAAGUUUUUUCGGUGUAGGAUGAGCUCGCGGCCUAUCAGCUUGUUGGUGGGGUAAUGGCCUACCAAGGCGGCGACGGGUAGCCGGCCUGAGAGGGUGGACGGCCACUUUGGGCAUGGGAUACGCCCCAAACCCCUACGGGGGGCAGGGGGGGGGAAUAUUGCACAAGGGGCGCAACCCUGAGCAAGGGACGCCGGGUGGGGGAUGCGGGCCUUCGGGUUGUAAACUCCUUUCCCUAGGGACGAAGCUUUUGGGCCGGUACCUAGAAAAGAAGCACCGGCUAACUACGU